This 484-nucleotide ribosomal RNA is filed under the name uncultured bacterium. Its description in RNAcentral is "partial 16S ribosomal RNA". It matches the Rfam family "Bacterial small subunit ribosomal RNA", at positions 29 to 507 of the family's 1533-position model. The record is from RNAcentral.
AUUGAACGCUGGCGGCAUGCUUUACACAUGCAAGUCGAACGGCAGCGCGGGCUUCGGCCUGGCGGCGAGUGGCGAACGGGUGAGUAAUACAUCGGAACGUGCCCAGUAGUGGGGGAUAGCUCGGCGAAAGCCGGAUUAAUACCGCAUACGACCUGAGGGUGAAAGCGGGGGAUCUUCGGACCUCGCGCUCUUGGAGCGGCCGAUGGCAGACUAGGUAGUUGGUGGGGUAAAGGCCUACCAAGGCGACGAUCUGUAGCUGGUCUGAGAGGACGACCAGCCACACUGGGACUGAGACACGGCCCAGACUCCGACGGGAGGCAGCAGUGGGGAAUUUUGGACAAUGGGCGAAAGCCUGAUCCAGCAAUGCCGCGUGUGUGAUGAAGGCCUUCGGGUUGUAAAGCACUUGUGGCGGGAACGAAAAGGACUGUGCCAAUACCACGGUUCGAUGACGGUACCCGCAGAAUAAGCACCGGCUAACUACGUG